RNAcentral lists this long non-coding RNA (1535 nucleotides) under Phasianus colchicus (ring-necked pheasant). RNAcentral's name for it is "lncRNA (ENSPCLG00000013358.1)". The record is from RNAcentral. Lineage: Eukaryota; Metazoa; Chordata; Aves; Galliformes; Phasianidae.
GGGGGUGGCAGGCGGUGCCACCAGGGCGGCCAUUGCUGUUCAUCAGGCCAGGAGGGACAACGCGGCCGAGGUGGCGGCCAAGGAUGGCAGUCAGGUUAAUGGGAGGGACUGGGAGGAACUGGGAGGGACUGGGAGGGACUGGGAUGGAACUGGGAGGGACUGGAAUGGGACUGGGAAAGAAUGGGAGGGACUGGGAUGGAACGGGGAGGGACUGGGAUGGACUGGAAUGGGACUGGGAAGGAAUGGGAGGGACUGGGAUGGACUGGGAGGGAGUGGGAUGGAACUGGGAAGGACUGGGAUGGACUGGGAGGGAGUGGGAUGGAACUGGGAGGGACUGGGAUGGACUGGAAUGGGACUGGGAAGGAAUGGGAUGGACUGGGAGGGACUGGGAUGGACUGGGAGGGACUGGGAUGGAACUGGGAGGGACUGGGAUGGACUGGGAGGGACUGGGAUGGAACUGGGAGGGACUGGGAAGGGACUGGGAAGGAAUGGGAGAGAUUGGGAGGGACUGGGAUGGACUGGGAGGGAGUGGAAUGAAACUGGGAGGGAUUGGGAUGGACUGGGAGGGAGUGGAAUGGAACUGGGAGGGACUGGGAUAUACUGGGAAGGAAUGGGAGGGACUGGGAUGGACUGGGAGGGACUGGGAUAUACUGGGAGGGAGUGGAAUGGAACUGGGAGGGACUGGGAUAUACUGGGAAGGAAUGGGAGGGACUGGGAUGGACUGGGAGGGACUGGGAGGGAACUGGGAUAUACUGGGAUAUACUGGGAUGUACUGGGGGGGACGAGAAGGGACUGGUCUCUGCUGGUCUGUACUGGUCUGUACUCUUUUAUACUGGUCUAUACUGGUUUAUACUGGUCUGUACUGGUGUGUUCUGGUUUGUACUGGUUUAUACUGGUUUAUACUGGUUUAUACUGGGCAGGAGACGGUGGUGAACGCGCUGGGGUUGCUGUUGGCGCUGCUGCUGUUGCCGGUGCUGGAGGGGCAGCCGUGGCUGACGUGGCUCCUGGUGCUGCUGCUGAUGGUGGCCCACUUGGGUGCCAACAUGGCGGCCGUCCGCUCGCUGUGUUUCCCCACCUUGAACCGACCCCGACUCCGCCUGGCUCUCAGUGGGGCCUUGCGGGGUUUCAGCGGGGUUUUACGGGGUCCCACAGACCCCAAAACCCCGACCCCAAAAACGGGGGACCUCACGCUCACCGUCCCCAGCCCCGAAGAGAUCAACCCCCGAGAGCCUCUACUGCCUGGUCAGUGGCACCCAAUGUCACCCCACUGUCACCCCAAUGUCACCCCACUGUCACCCCAAUGUCCCCAAUACCCCCCAAUGUCCCUAAAUGCCACCCAAUGUCCCCAAUGUCCCCCAGUGUCCCCAGUAUCCCCAAUGUCUCCCAAUGCCCCCAAUAUCCCCAAUGUCCCCAACUGUCCCUAAUGUCCCCAGUGUCCCCAAUGUCCCCCAAUGUCCCCCAAUGUCCCUAAAUGCCACUCAAUGUCCCCAAUGUCCCCAUUGUCCCCAAUGUCCCCAAUGUCCCCAUUGUCCCCC